RNAcentral lists this ribosomal RNA (462 nucleotides) under uncultured bacterium. RNAcentral's name for it is "bacterial SSU rRNA". It matches the Rfam family "Bacterial small subunit ribosomal RNA", at positions 8 to 507 of the family's 1533-position model. The record is from RNAcentral.
AGAGUUUGAUCAUGGCUCAGAGUGAACGUUGGCGGCGUGGAUUAGGCAUGCGAGUCGAGCGAUCGUAGCAAUACGGGAGCGGCAAACGGGGUAGGAAUACAUCGGAACGUACCUUUUGGUUGAGAAUAGCGUUGGGAAACUGACGGUAAUACUCAAUAAAGUCGAGAGACCAAAGGUUUACUGCCGGAAGAGCGGCCGAUGCGAUAUUAGGUAGUUGGUGGGGUAAUGGCCUACCAAGCCUGAGAUGUCUAGGGGGUGUGAGAGCAUGGCCCCCACCACUGGGACUGAGAUACUGCCCAGACACCUACGGGUGGCUGCAGUCGAGGAUCUUCGUCAAUGGGCGAAAGCCUGAACGAGCGACGCCGCGUGCGGGAUGAAGGCCCUUGGGUUGUAAACCGCUGUCAGGGGGGAUGAAACCGUAAGGUUGACAGAGCCCCAGAGGAAGCACGGGCUAAGUUCGUG